AGCAGAUGCAACCUGCCUCGUUCUUUUGAAUGAGUAAUCAGAGACUUCUAAAGCCCAAGUUGGCAAUUAUUUUAGGAAGAGGUCAAACAAGGAGGCCGAAGCUGCAAAAGAUUUAUUGCUAUUUUGGUUAAAGCCAUGAGGAGCAGUUAUCAGCUAAGUGAGCCAGCUUUUCUUGAUACAUCCAUGUUGGACUGGCUUCAUGAAGAGUGACCUGUGCUUCUGUUUUCUCCGAGUUUGUUAACCAAGAUAACCUUUAUUUGGGGAAACAGUUGGUCUCCAACUCUGAGAGUCGGGUCAGACCAAAGGGCAGGAGCAGCGGCGUCUGUGAGUGUCGGCCACCAGCAGCUGGGAGAAGGCUCCGGCAAAUGUGCAAACGUGGGAAUAAGUUCUAUACAAGCUUCAGGAGGGAUAGAACCAUCCAGUCCUUUCACAGAGGCCCUCGCCGCCCCUUCAGGACCCUAACCACCAGGCCAUUUGCUUAAGGAGGAGACAGACUGGCAGCUGGCCGUACCUUGGGAGUGUUGGUCAUUUUGGGAGGCGCUGGUGGACGUCUGUGGAGCUGGCUGGAAACUCCCCCGCUUCUUCCUGGUAUGGAUCAGCCUCACAAUGUGCACGAUUCUGGGAAAGUCCUGGGCAUUG
This 639-nucleotide long non-coding RNA is filed under the name Mustela putorius furo (domestic ferret). Its description in RNAcentral is "lncRNA (ENSMPUG00000026238.1)". The record is from RNAcentral. Lineage: Eukaryota; Metazoa; Chordata; Mammalia; Carnivora; Mustelidae.